RNAcentral lists this ribosomal RNA (253 nucleotides) under uncultured bacterium. RNAcentral's name for it is "partial 16S ribosomal RNA". It matches the Rfam family "Bacterial small subunit ribosomal RNA", at positions 524 to 776 of the family's 1533-position model. The record is from RNAcentral.
GACGUAGGGCGCGAGCGUUGUCCGGAUUUAUUGGGCGUAAAGAGCUCGUAGGCGGCUUGUUGCGUCGACUGUGAAAACCCGCGGCUUAACCGCGGGCCUGCAGUUGAUACGGGCAGGCUAGAGUUCGGUAGGGGAGACUGGAAUUCCUGGUGUAGCGGUGAAAUGCGCAGAUAUCAGGAGGAACACCGGUGGCGAAGGCGGGUCCCUGGACCGGCAUUGACGCUGAGGCGCGAAAGCCAGGGGAGCAAACGGG